Long non-coding RNA from Thalassophryne amazonica, 1336 nucleotides. RefSeq lists it as uncharacterized. The record is from RefSeq and is a predicted model, not a curated record. The transcript has 2 exons. NCBI's taxonomy places the organism in Eukaryota, Metazoa, Chordata, Actinopteri, Batrachoidiformes, Batrachoididae.
CACUCUUCCCCUACCUAAUAAUGCCAGGUAUCUGUCCAAGGCUCAAACCUUGAGGCGAAAGGUCUGGCCUUAUCUCUUUCCCUGAUGAGUGCUGUCUUCCUUUCACAAGAAAAACCCUUAGAAUUAAACUGUCUUUUUUCAAGUUAAGAAUUAACACAAAUAUGCAACAUUUCCAAUCAUGAUAAUAAUGAAAAUUAAUAAAACACAAGACCAUUUCCAAUACCCACAUUGUCAAAAUAUAGGCUACUGUCCCAGGAGAGAGCUACCCCUGGCUUGAUGUUAACAUGCUUUUAUUCUGAAGAACAGUCAGGAAAGUGAGCAGUCAGCAGCAGCUUUACAGGUUUCACUAACUGCCUGCAGCAGCAAAGUUGGCAGCAGCACUCAGCAUGCUAUUAUUUGCCUAGUCUUAAAAUAAGUUAUCACUGCUGUAUAAAAUAGAAUUGAAAAUAGUUCUAAUCUCCAAUCUCACUUUGAGCUUUAUAAACCAUUGUUUUACUAAUUCAUAGCCAAAUCCUCCCAACGACAAGUGAGUGCUUCUCAGUGAACAAACUAAACCGACAGUCGCAGUAGUGACACCUUGUGUUUUAAAAUGUGUAAACGUUAAACCAGAUCAUCUGAAUAGGAAUGAAAAAUUUUACCAAUUUAUUUACUGGACAAUAAUGGAAAAAUGAUUUCAGUAAUAUGUCAAUUAAAUGUAGUGAUAAUACUGAGUGAUGUUUUGUUGAGCCAUAGUUUUAUAUUUAAGUAUUUAUGGUGACAACAUUGUGUCUCAUAUUUUCAAAUAAUUUAUUCUAAAGCAAUGCUAAAUUAUUUGGCUUUAUUUAAGUGCCUUAACUCCAAAAGUAGCACAUUCCCCAAAUGUAACAUAACACGCUGGAAGUUGGAAAAGUACAUGACUGUAAUAUUUAUUUUGCAUUGUUUUUGAAUGAUUAAUGUUCACAAUCGGUCCCAAAUGCUGGUGAAUUCCAGAGCUGAUUAGAAAUGUAGAUGAAGUGCAUAGAACUGUAGGUGGAUGCUCUCUGCAUGUGUAGUCUUUUGUGUUGUCCCUGAAUGAAUAAUAAAUGUUUUCUGAUACUGUGAUGAGCUGUAUGAAUUCUAUGCAGCAGGAAUAAAAAAGAAAUCCCUCAGUGGAUUUCCUGUGAGUGAGCCAGUUCACUUCAAAAAGAUAAAAUGCUCAAUAGUAACAUUUUUGAUAAACAGUGAAAUUUACAAAGUAUUGGUUUUAUUUAGACUGUUGACUGAACAGUCGUGUAAGACAGUCUGUGCACGUUGAUCAGGGAAGUAGACCAACUGUUCUGUCUGAAGGAUUUGAAUAAAUGUUUACUAUUGAAACCAG